UACAGAGGGUGCAAGCGUUGUUCGGAAUUACUGGGCGUAAAGCGCGUGUAGGCGGGUCUUUAAGUCAGGGGUGAAAUGCCAAGGCUCAACCUUGGAACUGCCUUUGAUACUGGAGACCUUGAGUCCGGGAGAGGUGAGUGGAAUUGCGAGUGUAGAGGUGAAAUUCGUAGAUAUUCGCAAGAACACCAGUGGCGAAGGCGGCUCACUGGCCCGGAACUGACGCUGAGACGCGAAAGCGUGGGGAGCAAACAGG
Molecule: ribosomal RNA, 253 nt
Filed under: uncultured bacterium
Lineage: Bacteria
Description: partial 16S ribosomal RNA
Rfam family: Bacterial small subunit ribosomal RNA
Source: RNAcentral